RNAcentral lists this ribosomal RNA (492 nucleotides) under uncultured bacterium. RNAcentral describes it as "partial 16S ribosomal RNA". It matches the Rfam family "Bacterial small subunit ribosomal RNA", at positions 29 to 507 of the family's 1533-position model. The record is from RNAcentral.
AGUGAACGCUGGCGGUAGGCCUAACACAUGCAAGUCGAACGGCAGCACAGUAAGAGCUUGCUCUUACGGGUGGCGAGUGGCGGACGGGUGAGGAAUACAUCGGAAUCUACUUUUUCGUGGGGGAUAACGUAGGGAAACUUACGCUAAUACCGCAUACGACCUACGGGUGAAAGCAGGGGAUCUUCGGACCUUGCGCGACUGAAUGAGCCGAUGUCGGAUUAGCUAGUUGGCGGGGUAAAGGCCCACCAAGGCGACGAUCCGUAGCUGGUCUGAGAGGAUGAUCAGCCACACUGGAACUGAGACACGGUCCAGACUCCUACGGGAGGCAGCAGUGGGGAAUAUUGGACAAUGGGCGAAAGCCUGAUCCAGCCAUACCGCGUGGGUGAAGAAGGCCUUCGGGUUGUAAAGCCCUUUUGUUGGGAAAGAAAAGCAGCAGGUUAAUACCCCGCUGUUCUGACGGUACCCAAAGAAUAAGCACCGGCUAACUUCGUG